Molecule: long non-coding RNA, 6922 nt
Organism: Dromaius novaehollandiae (emu)
Lineage: Eukaryota; Metazoa; Chordata; Aves; Casuariiformes; Dromaiidae
Exons: 2
Source: RefSeq, a predicted model, not a curated record
CACUGAGCAUGCCCGGGCUUGGGGCCAGCGGGCGGCCGUUGGGACAGCGGCCCUGCAGCGAGGCGGGGGGCGCCGAGACCGCGGCGGGGCCGUGGCAGCCUCCAACGACCCCUCGGGCCCCCCUCGCGGUGGUCUCCCCGCGGUUUGGGAAGAGGCUGUGGAGGUCUCCCGUGGCAGACCUCCCGUUUCUUGCAGUGGAUGUGCCUAACAAUAUACCUUUUCUGUUUUUUUUAUUUUUUUUAAGUGGUAGAUGUGUGAGAACACGCACCACCAAGUCGCUGGAAAUGUCAGCAAAAGCAGCAUAGCUUUUUGCAGUGACAGGGGGAGCGGAGAGUAAGAAAUGUGGUCAGUGCAACUGCUUCUGUUUUCAAGAGCUGGAAGAUCUGCAGAGUUUGAAGCAGGAAUCAGAAGUUGUUCAGAAAGAUAGCUUGUAAGGCUAGAAAGGAGAAAGGGUUUAUAUAUAUAUAUAUAUAAUCUCAGUAGAAUAUUGUUCAAAAAUUUGAUCCAAUUCUGGCCAUUUGAAACUUAAUUUUUGAAGAUUUGCUGUUAAUGACUGUGAACGUCAGCGCUGAGCUUCUCUUCUCUGGUUUUCCGUGCAGUAUGGGGAACCGUGAGGGUCUUGGCCCCGUGUGCCUACCCUGCAGGGUCACAGCUUCAGCCAGGGGCACUUUAGGCCUACAGCAGCAUUUCUCGAGCUUCUGAACAAUGAGCCCCUCCCAUUCAGUAAAAUGAAGUUAAUCCAACCAUUUUCCCAGACGGAUUAUGGACUACAGGCCCACUGUCCUAAUUUAUAUCUGUUCUUUGCACCUCAGGUAAUUUCGGGAAGCGUGAAACUAUCUGCUUAUGCCCAGAACAGACAUCUGUGAUGGAAACCAGGAAUAUUCACUGAUUUCAUCUGUUCUCUUUUCUAAUUACCUCUAGUAAUUAUGAAAAUACUACAUCCAUCUCUAAUACUAAAGUAUUCCUUAACUAAGCAAUAAAAGUGUUCCAGCCUGGAUGGAAGCUGAGGAUACAAAUCCAAAGAUGUAUACAUUCAUAUGGGAACUGUGUCAGUUGCCAUGUUAGGAGUCAACUUCUUUUGAAGGCGGCCCUGACCUUGAUGACUGAAACAACGUGCUGAAAGUAAUGUGCUCCUUUAGCCUCCCACAUAAACAGUCAUUGUAGAAGGCCUUGACAGAAUUUCUUACAUGGAAUGCAAUGUGCUGGGAGUGAAGUAUGCUGCUUUCUGUUUAAUUCAUCCAACAGAGGCUGUACAUGACAUAGAGGUAAGGCAGAUAUUACAGUCUGGCUCCCGUUCUCAACUUCUGAGAGGCCAAGAAAGAGCAAAUGGCUGUCAGACACGACAAAAAUACCAAGGGACACCUGCUAUGCAAGUGCUGGCACCAGCUGCAGCUACUUCACUUGCCUGUGAGAACUGGGAAGGUAGUCUGUGAGGGAAACCUGUAGUUACUAUUUCAUGUAAAAUCUUUUGUAGUUUUGUGUAACUUUCACUUGCAUAGAGUUUUUGAUUGGUACAGUGUGUGUGUGGGAAACUAGUGACACAGGUAAUUUUUAUGUGAUCCCUGGCCUUGUGGGCUACUGCUCAAACCUACUGCAUAAAGUAGGGCACCCUGCCCACAGAGGAGCAGGCUGCUGCUGAAUCUUUGCGGGUUCUGGGCAUCAGGGGCCCUGGAGUAGGUUGUCAGUUGGACACACUUGCUACUGGGGAUGGGAGGGACCCGUGAUGGAUAGAUAGGUGUGAAGGGAUGCGAUGAAAGCAGGACAUGCCUUUGCAGACACACCCAAUAUUGCAUGAUAAGGCACCAGUGUUGGGGUCUGUUUAGGACAAUGAAUGCCUCUUUGCACACCCAAGACCAGACUGUGUGUGCAUGUCCUGAAGCUGCUGAAGCUCACAGUAUAUUGGGAAACUGGGCUGCCUAGGCAGAAGAAGUUACCCACAGAGGCUCAGCAGAAAAGUCUACUACCCUAGGAAGCAUCCCAAGGAUGUUAUAACAGUAACAGUGCAGUGCAGUUUCAUAGUUCAUAAUAUGUUAGGGUGAGGUCAGAUGUGCAGCUGUAGAGACUGAGGGAGAUGGGUUGGGUGAAACCUUGCUCAAUUUUUUUCAAUAUGAUCUUUUGUGGAAUAGACAGACUAUUCCUUUAUCUCUGUCUGUGGCCACUGGAGCUCAGUUUUUCACAGCUGGCAACAAAAUAGCAGCCAGUAAGACCUAUGUCAAAGUAUGUGUAGUGCAGGUUAAAUGGCACAGGUAUUAAAAGUGUGGAACCAGCUGCUGGGAUGGGUCUGGAGCGUGGUGAAGACAACAGGCCUGGGCACUGCUGGAGGUGAGGCAGAGACAGAGCAUCCCAGUUAAUGUUAGAUUGCUCUGUUAAUUAAAUGCCCAAGACCUGGCUAUAUUCCCAGAACACAAGGGAAAACAGCUAUACUGGACAAGGUCCCAUGGAGUAAAUGUCUUAGCUGGACCAAUGACAGUCUUGAUCCUGGAUAUGUCUUGAGGCUAUAUAGGAACUGGAGUUCCUGGAUACCAGUAGCUCAGCUGUUCUCAAAGGUUUCCUCUCUGUAGCAGUGUGCUCUUUGUCUGUGGAUUCUUCCCUUUCCUUAGUGGAGAAGAAAUUGAUUCAAAUAUGGGAAAGGACCAUAAUCUGCACUGAACGUAAGAAUUACAUCUCCGUUCCUCUCCAGGAUGUGAUCCAGCUUCGGGAGGUUGCUGGAGGGCACGCUACCAAAACUGGAGCUGUCAUUGACAUUCAUAGUCAGAGACUGCCUCCUGCAUUGCUCCAGGUUCCCUUAGCAGUGGUCCUGAAACAUUCAGUGAGCAGAGGUGUAGCAAAGCGCCUCACUGUGCGAUUGCCAGGAGAGAUUGCUUUGCCAUCCUGCCUGCUGGCUCCCAUUUGAGUCUCACUGCACUGAGCUACAUCCAGUGGAAUGCUGCUUAUGGCAAGUCUGGCUCUGCUCUAGGUGCUGGGGUUGGGUUCUGCUGUGAUGGCAAUGCUGGAGUAUGAAAUGUGGUACCUGUGGUUCAGGAAAGGGCCUGAGGGAAAGCAGAAGAACCCAGUCCCAGGGAGGGCAUCCAAGGCAAAAGGCUGAUGCAGAGUGGCAUGCAAAGUGUGACAGAGAGCAAGCUGGCUGUGGUAAGGCUCCAGGAAGAAACAACAUAGUCCAAGCCUGCAUUUACAGGAGAGCAGCACCGUCCAGGUGCCAGGAUCUCAAGACUCAAGGAGUGGGAAAGGAAUGAGGAGGGUCCCGAAAGAACCUGUGGGUGGUCUGGGGAAUUCUGAAAUAGGCAGCUACUACUUGAUCUGAUACAAAGUUAGUUUGUCAAAAUGUUUGAAACAUUUUUUAAGGGACAGAAUGCUGUUAAUUAGAUCAGUAGUUUGCCUUUCCUGGCUGCAAUGAUUUUGGUGUGCUGCUUCAAGACCCUAUGUCAUCUUUAGGGUAUAUAGGGUAUAUAGUCAAACCUAGUUUAGGAUAAUGGGAAAGGGUAGAAUUUUACUGUCUUAUUGAGUCACAAAUUUGUUGAUAGGUCACUUGGGUACAGAAGAUAACAGCUAGUCUGCUAAAAAGACACUUAUAUCUCCAAGGAAAUAAAAAAGUCUUUAAGAAGUCAAGUGUAGAAAUACCUUCUGAAUAAGUCAGAAAUAAAGAAGCUUAAAAGAGGAAAGAUUGAAUCUGCAUGGGAACCCCUGGAGGAUUAGAAGAAAGGGCUUAUGUGUAAAAGCUUGCGUGAGACAUAAGGAAGAGGCUCUGCAGAUGCAGUCUAAGCUAUUAUGGUAUGCAGAAAACUGCAACCACAGGAAAUAGGAGGGAGACUUUAUAUUUGAUCUUGGUGUAAAAAGCUUAAGUGCUUGUAACUUUGUCAGUUUUGGAUGCUGUAUAAAGAAAUCCUUUUGUUUGGAUUGUAAACAGUUUGAGAGUUAAAUGUGAUUUCACUGGUAACUUAACUCCAAGGCUGUGGAGAAGCUAAACCACAGUGUACUGGCAUGCCCAGCAUUCCAGCACAGACUAAAUGCAUUGAAGCUGUACAGAACAGUUCAAGAGAGCACGUUGCAAAAAUCAAAAAAAAACCCAAAAGAUAUUUUCUGGUGACAGUAAGGAAGCUGCUGUGGCAUGAUAAAACUUUGGGAAACACACUGAACCACAGGAAUGUUAAGGGAGCUUGUGGCAGAGACCAAGCACAAGCUACACUUUGAUCAAAUAAGUUAGUUAGUAUGGAAUAAAAUUUAAGGGUCCAGGAUAAAAAAGUUAAGUGACCUGAAAGUCAUUUCUGGUCUUAAAUGCAAAAUUUUCAAGUCUGUUAAGUGAGUAUAAAUGCUAUCAAUUUAGAACAGCAUUUACGUAUGAAUUGGAAGUAUCCAUUAAUAUGAAAUACCCAUUCAAUUUGCAAAGGAGUAAAUGACUAUAUGAAGUGCAGGGCAAUGAAAUAUUACAUUUCACAGCUUUAUAAAGAGACUCUUUUAGAACUCUAUUAUAUUUUUGUGUCACCUGAGAGGUUUAAGUGUUGAUAGAUUCUCAUGGAUUCUUCCAAGAAAGGGUUGUGGUGCUAAAAUCCCCUUAGCUAGGCAGAACUUCAUUUUAUUAUUGAGUUGGUUUACAGAGGCACCCCCUCACAGCCAUCAAGUUUAUUCACAGAUUUCCUAAUCCACCCAAAACAAGAUAGCAUGUUCUCUGCUUCCAGCAUUUCAGGACGUUUCAGAAGUGACACUGAACAUUAUCAGUUGCUCAGUACUUCAGUGACAAUAACAGCUGAAGGGGUUUCUGCCCUCACUUCCUGCCCAUGACUGCUCAUUUCUCACCCCACACUUCUCUUCUUCCCCCAGUUGUACCAGCAUAGGUGUUCAUGGAGCUCCCCUGUGGGCUAGGACAGUGAACUGAUCCAGAUUUAAAGCAAUUUUAUGUCACUGUGUGACACUGCUUACCCAAGCUCUUUAAUUUGAUGCAAGUCCAAAGCUGCCUGCUCUCCAGCCUCAUGUGCUGUCCCCAGUUGCUUGUUCCCACUACCUCCAUGCUGACUUGUGUAUGUGAAGCCAUGUCAGGAGCUGUGCAAGGGAACCCAUUCAUCUGAAAAAUAACCUGGCAAAAAUACCAGAAAACAUUGGGCAUGGCAUGGAGAUUGAGUGUUAUACUGGUCUUUUGGGUGGCAAAAUGGGUUUUUGCCUGAUUAAAGUUGCUGAGAAAUAGGAUGUCAUGCCAUGGUCUGGGACUGAGGGUCAGGAACACUUUAAACCCCUAAGGCUCCAACUGUUGUCUCCGAAGUUCUGUGUUGUGAAACUACCGCCAGAGCUUCCUAUCCUGGCUUCAAAACAGCUAAGAAAUAGGGUACUAAUACCCUUAAUAAGAGCACGUGUGCUCUGCUUUGAACAUCUGAGGAUGGUCACCUCAAAGGGGUGUACGAAAGCUAGGUCUUCCAACAGUUUUUCCAUUUGAAGAAGACAGUCUUGAAAUCUAGGCUAGUUCAGAACUCCUGGAUUCUGCCUUCAAAUUUAACAUCUGGUUUGAGGAUACAUCUGGUUUCACGCUUUAUGUUUGAUCAGAAACAUCCAGGUGGUGAGUGCCUCCUCAUGGUGGAGACUUCUCUGCAAGGAAGGGAAUAGGAUUCUGUGCCAAAACUCCCACUAAACUUUGUCCAGGAACUUUUUAUGCAGUAAAAAUGUAUCAGAAUUUAAAGAAAGCUGCUCUGAAACUUCAGGAGCUUGAACAAGCUCCAUUAUUCUCUUAAGCAGCUCUGCAGUUUGUGUCAAAAAGCAAUCCUUUGAGGUCCCAUGCAUAUUUUUUCUGUUUUAAAUUUGUUUAACAAUACCAACAUCAUUGAAGUUUGUUCUGAUAUUUUGAGAUGAUGGCUUUAUUUGUAUAAUGAAUUUUAAAAUAAGAUGACCAUCUUUACCUUUGGUUGUGGAUAACACUUACCUUUGAUUGUUGAGAAGUUUAAGAUUUUACUGACGUUGUUUCAAAAUUAUUCUCUAAUCUACAACGUUAAUUGGUCAACACAGUCCAUUUCUGAGGUUUAGAGGAAGCUGAAAUUGAGGCCUUUUUGGGCUCUUUUUAUGGAACCCAGGUGUUACUGAUAGUUACUUGAUUUCCCUGGUCUCAGUCACCGUACAUCAUCCAAUCCGUGGUAUUAAUAGUCUAGCAGUGAACACUAGAGAAUAAUAUUAGCUAGAAAAUAUUAACUAGAAGACAUUUAGUUUUAUAUAUUUUCUUAGUCAAAGGCUGGGGACAAGUGUCCACCCUGUAUACAUUAUUUAAACUUUAAAUCAUUUUUGAAGUAAUUGACAAUACAGAGUUUCUACUAGUUCCAAAUUUAAUGACAUUGCAUGAGAAUGUAAACAAGGAUAACAGUAUGAUAUCUACUACUUGAAGGGGUUUUUUUUAAUUCUGUAAACUGUUCUUUACUGAGUAGUAAACUUUAUAGUCUUGGCUUUAAUGAGAAGGUCAUUAAGUGUAAGAAUAUUAAAUUAGCCAAUGCAGAAUUGCUUCCUUUGGCUGCUGUAGGCCUGCCUGUGCUCACCCUGAAUUUUUGUGUGCCUCGGACAAUAGAUAACCAGCUGGCACUGAGAUUCCAUGGAAACUACGUGCUAUAUUUCCUUUGGCUCCUUCGAAAAUCUCAUGCCUUCUGUCUUUAUUCUUCUGCUGCUGUUGCUAUGCUGCCAACUAGAAAGUAGGAUCAGGGCAAUUGGGAACAAAAUUUUAUAUGAGAAGAUCUUGUUCUUAGGAAUUGAUUGCCCAUUGGAAAAAGGGAUGAAUCAAUAUUAUUUAAUCUCCAUUCCUGUGCUCUGUGGGAAAUUAAUGAAACAAGUAUUUGUGAGAUUAUCUGGAGGGAAGUGGUAUUUCUAGAGGUAAUAGUUUGCCAACUAUAAGAACAAAUUACAUUCUUUUCACUUACAUGUAAGCAACAAUGACUUAAUCAUAACUAUAAUGUUAAAUGGA